AUGGAUGAGUUAGAUUAUUCUUGUCUUGCUAACCAUAAAUUCAUCCUCCUCUUCUUUGAAGCCAUGCCGGGCCUUAAAAUUAACUUUGCAAAAAGUGAGGUGAUUGUCACUGGUGUGGAUGAAUGUGAGGCUUUAAGGGUGUCCCAUCUCCUUAACUGUAAGUUAGGAUCAUUUCCUUUCAAAUAUUUGGUCCUCCCUAUCUCCCCGGAUGUCCUUCAUGCGAGAGAUUUUGCUCCGGUGGUAACCAAGGUGGGCAAUAGAGUUCUGCCCUGGCGUGGCAGAUAUAAUACCAAUGCGGGCAAAGUGGCUUUGAUCAAUGCCUGCCUGUCUUCCCUUCCUAUGUUCCUAAUGGGCUUUUACUUGCUUUCGGGAGGGAUUCAUGCUGGCUUUGACAAGCACCGUGGGGCUUUUUAUUGGAAUGCCGCUGAUAACCGUCGUAAGUAUCGCUUUGUCAAGUGGAAGUUGAUGUGUCAACCCAAAAACCUUGGAGGGUUGGGUAUUAUGAACACCACCAUAAUGAACCAAUGUCUUAUGGUCAAAUGGUGGUGGAAGAUUAUGAGUGGUGGGGUCCAGUCCUUAUGGUUCCACAUUCUAAAAGCUAAGUACUUCCCCAUGUCUAGCCCGAUGUUCGCCAUCGGACGUGUCGGCUCUCAAUUUUGGAAGGCCUUGGUGAAAGUUAGGCCUGCUUUCUAG
Molecule: ribosomal RNA, 693 nt
Filed under: Triticum aestivum (bread wheat)
Lineage: Eukaryota; Viridiplantae; Streptophyta; Magnoliopsida; Poales; Poaceae
Description: partial small subunit ribosomal RNA
Source: RNAcentral